Molecule: ribosomal RNA, 463 nt
Filed under: uncultured bacterium
Lineage: Bacteria
Description: bacterial SSU rRNA
Rfam family: Bacterial small subunit ribosomal RNA
Source: RNAcentral
CCAGACUCCUACGGGAGGCAGCAGUGAGGAAUAUUGGUCAAUGGGCGGGAGCCUGAACCAGCCAAGUCGCGUGAGGGACGACGGUCCUAUGGAUUGUAAACCUCUUUUGUCGGGGAACAAAGGCGCCCACGGGUGGGCGGAUGAGUGUACCCGAAGAAAAAGCAUCGGCUAACUCCGUGCCAGCAGCCGCGGUAAUACGGAGGAUGCGAGCGUUAUCCGGAUUUAUUGGGUUUAAAGGGUGCGUAGGCGGACAGUCAAGUCAGCGGUAAAAAUGCGGUGCUCAACGCCGUACAGCCGUUGAAACUGGCAGUCUUGAGUGGGCGAGAAGUAUGCGGAAUGCGUGGUGUAGCGGUGAAAUGCAUAGAUAUCACGCAGAACUCCGAUUGCGAAGGCAGCAUACCGGCGCCCGACUGACGCUGAGGCACGAAAGCGUGGGUAUCGAACAGGAUUAGAUACCCCGGUA